UUAGUGGCGGACGGGUGAGUAACGCGUGGGUAACCGUGCCUUGCACGUGGGGAUAACACUUAGAAAUAGGUGCUAAUACCGCAUAAGCGCACGGUCCUGCAUGGGACAGUGUGAAAAACUCCGGUGGUGCAAGAUGGACCCGCGUCUGAUUAGCUGGUUGGCGGGGUAAAGGCCCACCAAGGCGACGAUCAGUAGCCGGCCUGAGAGGGUGGACGGCCACAUUGGGACUGAGACACGGCCCAAACUCCUACGGAAGGCAGCAG
Molecule: ribosomal RNA, 263 nt
Filed under: uncultured bacterium
Lineage: Bacteria
Description: partial 16S ribosomal RNA
Rfam family: Bacterial small subunit ribosomal RNA
Source: RNAcentral